Molecule: unclassified non-coding RNA, 264 nt
Filed under: air metagenome
Description: partial contains small subunit ribosomal RNA, internal transcribed spacer 1, and 5.8S ribosomal RNA
Rfam family: Eukaryotic small subunit ribosomal RNA (bases 1-46)
Source: RNAcentral
AAGUCGUAACAAGGUUUCCGUAGGUGAACCUGCGGAAGGAUCAUUAAAGAGAUAGGGUCCUUCGGGGCCCGACCUCCAACCCUUUGUCUACCAAACCUCUGUUGCCUCGGCGGGUCGUCGGUUACCCUCACGGGUGCCGCCGUCGGCCUCCGCGCUCUCGAGUGCCCGCCGCAGGACUAUUUAAAACUCUUUGUCAAACGAGUAUAAUCUGAGUGGAAUUUAAUGCUUCAAUUAAAACUUUUAACAACGGAUCUCUUGGUUCUG